This 301-nucleotide ribosomal RNA is filed under the name uncultured bacterium. RNAcentral's name for it is "partial 16S ribosomal RNA". It matches the Rfam family "Bacterial small subunit ribosomal RNA", at positions 509 to 807 of the family's 1533-position model. The record is from RNAcentral.
CAGCAGCCACGGUAAUGCGUAGGUGGCAAGCGUUGUCCGGAAUUAUUGGGCGUAAAGGGCUCGCAGGCGGUUUCUUAAGUCUGAUGUGAAAGCCCCCGGCUCAACCGGGGAGGGUCAUUGGAAACUGGGAAACUUGAGUGCAGAAGAGGAGAGUGGAAUUCCACGUGUAGCGGUGAAAUGCGUAGAGAUGGGGAGGAACACCAGUGGCGAAGGCGACUCUCUGGUCUGUAACUGACGCUGAGGAGCGAAAGCGUGGGGAGCGAACAGGAUUAGAUACCCCCGUAGUCCCUGUCUCUUAUAC